Molecule: small nuclear RNA, 301 nt
Filed under: Castor canadensis (American beaver)
Lineage: Eukaryota; Metazoa; Chordata; Mammalia; Rodentia; Castoridae
Description: 7SK RNA (ENSCCNG00000015605.1)
Rfam family: 7SK RNA
About the family: 7SK was discovered as an abundant small nuclear RNA in the mid-70s but a possible function has only recently been suggested. Two independent studies have found that 7SK RNA binds the CDK9/cyclin T complex (known as elongation factor P-TEFb). P-TEFb activates transcription by phosphorylating the C-terminal domain of RNA polymerase II.
Source: RNAcentral
GAAUGUGAGGGCAAUCUGGCUGUGACAUCUGUCACCCCAUUGAUCACCAGGGUUGAUUUGGCUGAUUUGGCUGGCUAGGUGGGUAUCCCCUUCCUCCCUCACUGCUCCAUGUGCAUCCCUCCCAAAGCUGUGCGCUCAGUCGAAGAGGACGACCAUCCCCCAUAGAGGAGGACCAUUUUUCGGUCAAGAGUAUAGAGUAGCUGCGCUCCCUUGCUAGAACCUCCAAACAAGCUCUCAAAGUUGGAAUGUGGACCAGCAGCAUCAGUAUCACCUGGGAACUUGUGAAAAAUGCAAAUUGCCU